Molecule: transfer RNA, 74 nt
Filed under: Camelus bactrianus (Bactrian camel)
Lineage: Eukaryota; Metazoa; Chordata; Mammalia; Artiodactyla; Camelidae
Also listed under: 1 other name
Rfam family: tRNA
About the family: Transfer RNA (tRNA) molecules are approximately 80 nucleotides in length. Their secondary structure includes four short double-helical elements and three loops (D, anti-codon, and T loops).
Source: Rfam by way of RNAcentral
GAGGGUAUAGCUCAAAGUGGUAGAGCACAUGCUUAGCAUGCACACGGUCCUGGGUUCAAUUCCCAGUACUUCCU